UACGAAGGGGGCUAGCGUUGCUCGGAAUGACUGGGCGUAAAGGGCGCGUAGGCGGAACAUACAGUCAGAUGUGAAAUUCCCGGGCUCAACCUGGGGGCUGCAUUUGAUACGUGUGAUCUAGAGUGAGGAAGAGGGUCGUGGAAUUCCCAGUGUAGAGGUGAAAUUCGUAGAUAUGCGGAGGAACACCAAUGGCGAAGGCAACCCCUCGGGCCGUGCACUGACGCUCAUGCACGAAAG
This 237-nucleotide ribosomal RNA is filed under the name uncultured bacterium. RNAcentral's name for it is "partial 16S ribosomal RNA". It matches the Rfam family "Bacterial small subunit ribosomal RNA", at positions 524 to 759 of the family's 1533-position model. The record is from RNAcentral.